CUCCGCCACGACCACUCUGACUCCCCCUCCUCCAACGCCGUCGCCGCGGCCUCCGCUUCCUCCCCAGACCACGGUAAAUACGACCACAUCUUGGAGACUUUCGCUGAGAAGUACGUUCAGCCCAAGCUGCUAGCCUUUCAGCCCCUUCCUCUGCCCAUAAUGCCCAACCUCUCCCUCUCCGACCCACCUCCGGUGCUCUCUCUCGGCUCCGUCGGUAUCUCGGAUGCCGGCGUGCCUGUGGGUUCAACCACGCCCUCCCCAGUCCUCCCUGCGUGGAUGAACGCCACAAACAUGGGUUCAACGACGUCAUCUAUAUC
RNAcentral lists this long non-coding RNA (317 nucleotides) under Vitis vinifera (wine grape). RNAcentral's name for it is "long non-coding RNA (VVIN_LNC004761)". The record is from RNAcentral. Lineage: Eukaryota; Viridiplantae; Streptophyta; Magnoliopsida; Vitales; Vitaceae.